Molecule: ribosomal RNA, 626 nt
Filed under: uncultured fungus
Lineage: Eukaryota; Fungi
Description: eukaryotic LSU rRNA
Rfam family: 5.8S ribosomal RNA (bases 222-375)
Source: RNAcentral
GAAGUAAAAGUCGUAACAAGGUUUCCGUAGGUGAACCUGCGGAAGGAUCAUUAAUGAUUGCGAAUGGUUGCCUUCGGUGCUGGCUCUUGCAAGUGCACGUUGGUGGCUUUCAUCCAAUACCCUUGUGAACCUUUGGCCUCUUGCUGGCUUUGGCCGGCAGAGGAUUUUUACACACACUCGAAUGUAAUGAAAACUAUUGUCGUGCGCAAGCACUAAUGUACAACUUUCAACAACGGAUCUCUUGGCUCUCGCAUCGAUGAAGAACGCAGCGAAAUGCGAUAAGUAAUGUGAAUUGCAGAAUUCAGUGAAUCAUCGAAUCUUUGAACGCACCUUGCACCCUUUGGUAUUCCGAAGGGUAUGCUCGUUUGAGUGUCAUUGUACUCUCACUCUCUCUGAUCCUUUGGAUUCAGGGAGUGGUGGACUUGGGUGUUUGCUGCUUUCCUUGUGGCUCACCUCAAAUGCGUCAGUGCACCUCUUGGUUGGACAUAGUACGGCGUGAUAAGUAUCUUCGCCGGCACCUCGCGAGAGGGUGGCCGAUCGGGAGCUCUGUGCUUUCAAACUGUCUUCGGACAAUCUCUGACAACUUGACCUCAAAUCGAGUAGGACUACCCGCUGAACUUAAGCAU